Molecule: ribosomal RNA, 497 nt
Filed under: uncultured bacterium
Lineage: Bacteria
Description: partial 16S ribosomal RNA
Rfam family: Bacterial small subunit ribosomal RNA
Source: RNAcentral
GAUGAACGCUGGCGGCGUGCCUAAUACAUGCAAGUCGAGCGAACAGAUGAGGAGCUUGCUCCUCUGACGUUAGCGGCGGACGGGUGAGUAACACGUGGAUAACCUACCUAUAAGACUGGGAUAACUUCGGGAAACCGGAGCUAAUACCGGAUAAUAUAUUGAACCGCAUGGUUCAAUAGUGAAAGGCGGUUUUGCUGUCACUUAUAGAUGGAUCCGCGCCGCAUUAGCUAGUUGGUAAGGUAACGGCUUACCAAGGCGACGAUGCGUAGCCGACCUGAGAGGGUGAUCGGCCACACUGGAACUGAGACACGGUCCAGACUCCUACGGGAGGCAGCAGUAGGGAAUCUUCCGCAAUGGGCGAAAGCCUGACGGAGCAACGCCGCGUGAGUGAUGAAGGUCUUCGGAUCGUAAAACUCUGUUAUUAGGGAAGAACAAAUGUGUAAGUAACUAUGCACGUCUUGACGGUACCUAAUCAGAAAGCCACGGCUAACUACGUG